Molecule: transfer RNA, 73 nt
Filed under: Halobacillus litoralis
Lineage: Bacteria; Bacillati; Bacillota; Bacilli; Caryophanales; Bacillaceae
Also listed under: 1 other name
Description: tRNA-Val
Rfam family: tRNA
About the family: Transfer RNA (tRNA) molecules are approximately 80 nucleotides in length.
Source: RNAcentral
GAUUCCGUAGCUCAGUUGGGAGAGCGCCACCUUGACAGGGUGGAAGUCGUUGGUUCGAGCCCAAUCGGAAUCA